GCUCUAUGCUGUUCAAGGUCAGUAUCCAUUUGCAUUGUUUAUGAGUUGCACUAUAUUUUAUUUGAGUUCCGUAUCAAUUUGCUUUUUUUAUUGGUUGCAGGUUCGACCCAAGGAAUUCUGUGUUGGAGUGGUCCAUUCUACUUAUUGACAACUCGAACCGAAGUGGAUCAAUGGAGUUUGUUGUUCCCCCAACAGACUCAUCUGUAUUUUUCCCGAUUUCUGUGAACUUCUCUGCUACUAAUACAUUUAGUGACUUGAAGGUUGUGAAUGUCUUGCCCCAGAAAGGUGGAGCUCCACCGAAGUUCGGUCAAAGAAUGCAGUGAUGUAGGCUAAACUCGUCAGUACGUCAGAGCUGUCUUUCUACAUUUAUGCUUCGUACUUCCUAGAAAUUUCAUGAUCUUCCUAUGCAUGCAGGUUCUGAGUUUUUCUCUGUUUGUGGCUUC
This is a long non-coding RNA of Humulus lupulus (European hop), 443 nucleotides long. RefSeq lists it as uncharacterized. Lineage: Eukaryota; Viridiplantae; Streptophyta; Magnoliopsida; Rosales; Cannabaceae. The record is from RefSeq and is a predicted model, not a curated record. The transcript has 4 exons.